AAUAAAGUCUUAAAGGAAAUGCUUUUGACAAAAACUACAGAUUUAUUUAUUAUGUCCAGAGUUUAAGGAUCCAGUGACCAAUUUCAUAUUUACAUCUUUAAGAGUCAAAAUGUUGAGAUGGAAAAACCUUUAAAGUCUACUUUUAGUACACAGAAAA
This is a long non-coding RNA of Thalassophryne amazonica, 157 nucleotides long. RefSeq lists it as uncharacterized. The transcript has 2 exons. Lineage: Eukaryota; Metazoa; Chordata; Actinopteri; Batrachoidiformes; Batrachoididae. The record is from RefSeq and is a predicted model, not a curated record.